GGGCAUUUAGCUCAGUGGUAGAGCGUUGCAUUCACAUUGCAAAGGUCACUGGUUCAAUCCCAGUAAUGCCCAUCA
RNAcentral lists this transfer RNA (75 nucleotides) under Candidatus Harrisonbacteria bacterium RIFCSPHIGHO2_02_FULL_40_20. RNAcentral's name for it is "tRNA-Val". It matches the Rfam family "tRNA". From Rfam's summary of the family: Transfer RNA (tRNA) molecules are approximately 80 nucleotides in length. Their secondary structure includes four short double-helical elements and three loops (D, anti-codon, and T loops). The record is from RNAcentral. Lineage: Bacteria; Candidatus Harrisoniibacteriota. RNAcentral also lists the same sequence under 1 other name.